UAGAAGAAUAAGCUACUUUUUUUUAUUUAUUUAGCUUCAUCGGUGGUAAUCCAGAAGUUUCAUUUUGAGGAAGGUAUUCAAAUCGGGGAUAAGACUUCAGUGUCCUGUACAGCCAAAUCGAGUUCAAAUAUAAUAUCUUAUUCUUGGCAGAAGGACGGAGAACCGCUCUCUGAAAAUGACGAGUUUAAAUUCAGAAUAGACGAAGAAUUUUCAGCUCUGACUAUAAAAAGCGUGAAGACAAAUCACUCAGGCAAUUACACUUGCAUCGCAACCAACCAACAACAGCACUUUGAUAAAUACACAGCAGAGUUGAUAGUGAAAGCUCCACCCAAGUGGCUCAUUGAACCGGAAAAUGCUACAGUUUUAGUCGGCUCAUCUUAUUCAUUUCGUUGUUCUGCCCAUGAUUCCCUCCUCCACAAAUUACAUGGAUCAAAGGCAGAGAAGAAGGGAUGAAAGGAGAGAUCCUCCAUUUGGAUCACAUUCAGAGUUCUGAUGAUGGAACAUAUGUCUGCGAAGCAAAUAACGGUGUUCCACCUCCCCUCAAGAAGUUGGUAGUAUUGAGAGUGCGUGGUACGAUAUCAUUCACUAUUAUUAUUCCUUAAAGACGACGAUCACUGCUCUAAUGGUUACUGUGCUCUACUCCGGGUUGUGAGUUCGAAUCCCACCGUAGGCAUGGAUGUCACUUUCUCUCCCUCUCUGUGUUCUGUGUCCUUUCUUCUGUCCGUGAAUGUAACCAGAUCUAUAUGGUUGUAUGGCGUGGGCGAAGCUACUC
Parasteatoda tepidariorum (common house spider) is the source of this 772-nucleotide non-coding RNA. NCBI's taxonomy places the organism in Eukaryota, Metazoa, Arthropoda, Arachnida, Araneae, Theridiidae. The record is from RefSeq and is a predicted model, not a curated record.